Molecule: long non-coding RNA, 362 nt
Organism: Pseudophryne corroboree (corroboree frog)
Lineage: Eukaryota; Metazoa; Chordata; Amphibia; Anura; Myobatrachidae
Exons: 2
Source: RefSeq, a predicted model, not a curated record
AGUGUUCUUACAUUGCACUGGCCGCCGCGCUGAUGUCCGAUCUCCAGGAGGGGCCGCCCUGUCACCCGCUGUCACUGUUGAGCCGCUACUCCAUCCUCUGCCCGGCGGCCAGGUCCUGCUGUAGUGGGUGAGGAAGGUUGAAAACCCUUCCCCCGGUGAGAGGGGGCAGCAGUGGUGAUGAGGCAGUCUCUCGAACAAUUAUAAGUUUGCUGGCUCGAACAGCGAUAUGUCAAACCAGCCUACUGAAGACUAAAGCAAGCAUAGUUUAGUGGAAGGUUGUGCUUACAUUUGAAAAGAAAAGUACUGUAAAAACAUCAAAUAAAGAUUGUGUUUGAAAAAAACAUGAAACGCUUUUUUGAAGA